Molecule: long non-coding RNA, 173 nt
Organism: Thalassophryne amazonica
Lineage: Eukaryota; Metazoa; Chordata; Actinopteri; Batrachoidiformes; Batrachoididae
Exons: 3
Source: RefSeq, a predicted model, not a curated record
CUGUUUGUGAAUUUUUAAGGUCAAUGCUGAAAGCUCUGGCUGUUCACAGAGUUCUGGGUCAAAGAAUAUUCAUGAAAAGUUGACUGGAGGGGAAAACCGUGGUUGGAAAAGAUGCACAAGCAACAGGGAUGACCGCAGCCUUGAGAAGAUUGUCAAGGAAAGCCGAUUCCAGC